This 444-nucleotide long non-coding RNA is filed under the name Homo sapiens (human). RNAcentral describes it as "HSALNT0023006". Lineage: Eukaryota; Metazoa; Chordata; Mammalia; Primates; Hominidae. The record is from RNAcentral.
GGGUCUCAGCACCACGCAGUUCAGACAAGCAGCCUAACCACUCUGUGCCUUGGCUUCCUUCGCCAGGAAAUGCGAGUGAUGACUUUCUCUCACGGAGCUGUUGGGAGGCACAGAUCCCAAACAACACCUGUAAAGCACUUAGCCCAGGACCCGGCCCUAGCAAGCAAUUAGAAGCUGUCUGCCUUUAUUUUAAGUCGCCCCUCCAGCUAAUGGGAAACACAAGGGCAGGAUCCCACCUGACGUCUUCUCUGUUAGAGCCCAACGAACAGCUAGGAGAGACCUUUGCCCCCACACUAAACAAAGGAGAGGGGCGUGUGAAGGGAAAAGGAGCCUCGGCUUCCGUUCAUAUCCCCCUUGAAGGCACAGCAGACUUGAGGAUGACCUGAGAGGUGUCAAGGGAGGGUCAGUGGGUCCGCCACGCUGUCCACCCCUGCCCUUGAAGAG